AGUCUGGUGCCAGCAGCCGCGGUAAUUCCAGCUCAUUUAGUGUAUAUUAAAGUUGUUGCAGUUAAAAAGCUCGUAGUCGAUCAUCUAGUGCUGGCUGCUUCGGCUUCGGCUGCGGUACGCGAGUGCUAUCUGCUCGAGAACUUUAUCGGUCUUAACUGGUCGAUGAUGCUGAUCGGGCACUUUCCUGAGAAAAAAUUAGAGUGUUCAAAGCAGGCUAAUGCUUUGAAUAUUACAGCUUGGAAUAAUAGAAUAAGACUGAAGUCUCUUUUGUUGGUUAUGAACUUUAGUAAUGGUUAAUAGGAACAGUCGGGGGUAUUAGUAUUUAAUUGUCAGAGGUGAAAUUCUAUGAUUUAUUAAAGACUAACUUAUGCGAAAGCAUUUGCCAAGGAUGUUUUCAAUUGAUCAAGAACGAAAGUUAGGGGAUCAAAGACGAUCAGAUACCGUCCUAGUCUUAACUAUAAACGAUUCCGACUAUGGAUCAGAAGGGUUUUCCAAUCCCUUUUGGCACAUUAUGAGAAAUCAAAGUCUUUGGGUUCUGGGGGAAGUAUGGACACAAGUCUGAAACUUAAAGGAAUUGACGGAAGGGCACACCAGGUGUGGAGCCUGCGGCUUAAUUUGACCCAACACGGGGAAACUUACUAGGGCAAGACUAAGGUUGGAUUGACAGAUUGAGAGCUCUUUCUUGAUUCUUAGGGUGGUGGUGCAUGGCCGUUCUUAGUUGGUGGAGUGAUUUGUCUGGUUAAUUCCGUUAACGAACGAGACCUCAACCUGCUAAACUAGGAGCCGGAUUAAACAUUCGGUUUCCUUCUUAGAGGGACAAAGUGUUCAAGCACUGGGAAGUGAGGCAAUAACAGGUCUGUGAUGCCCCUAGACGUCCUAGGCCGCACGCGCGCUACAAUGACACGUUCAACGAGUUUCUUCCUGGUCCUGACGGAUUCGGGUAAUCUUCAUAGUACGUGUCGUGCUUUGGGAUAGUCCUUUGCAAUUAUAGGACUUAAACUAGGAAUACCUAGUAUAGGUAAGUCAUCAGCUUGCCUAGAUUAUGUCCCUGCCCUUUGUACACACCGCCCGUCGCUCCUACCGAUUUUGAGUGAUUAGGUGAACCUUCUGGAUCAGAGUAGUCUUCAAGGCUGUUCUGAGAAGUUAAGUAAAUCACUAUCACUUAGAGGAAGGAGAAGUCGUAACAAGGUUUCCGUAGGUGAACCUGCGGAAG
This 1213-nucleotide ribosomal RNA is filed under the name metagenome. RNAcentral describes it as "SSU rRNA". It matches the Rfam family "Eukaryotic small subunit ribosomal RNA", at positions 558 to 1823 of the family's 1831-position model. The record is from RNAcentral.